Molecule: ribosomal RNA, 727 nt
Filed under: uncultured eukaryote
Lineage: Eukaryota
Description: bacterial SSU rRNA
Rfam family: Eukaryotic small subunit ribosomal RNA
Source: RNAcentral
CGCGAGCACUGGCUCGGCCGGCCCUUUCCUCGCGGGGAAACCCAUGCCCUUUGCUGGGUGUGCGGGCCACCCGCGACUUUUACUGUGAAUAAAUCAGACUGUUCAAAGGAGGCCUUUGCUCGAAUGUCUUAGCAUGGAAUAAUGGAAUAGGACGCGCGUCCCUAUUUUGUUGGUUUCUAGGGACGCCGUAAUGAUUAAUAGGGAUGGUCGGGGGCAUCAGUAUUCAAUUGUCAGAGGUGAAAUUCUUGGAUUUAUUGAAGACUAACUACUGCGAAAGCAUUUGCCAGGGAUGUUUUCAUUAAUCAGUGAACGAAAGUUAGGGGAUCGAAGACGAUCAGAUACCGUCGUAGUCUUAACCGUAAACCAUGCCGACUAGGGAUCGGGCGAUGUUUCAUCAUGACUCGCUCGGCACCUUGCGAGAAAUCAAAGUAAGGUUCUGGGGGGAGUAUGGUCGCAAGGCUGAAACUUAAAGAAAUUGACGGAAGGGCACCACCAGGAGUGGAGCCUGCGGCUUAAUUUGACUCAACACGGGGAAACUCACCAGGUCCAGACACAAUAAGGAUUGACAGAUUGAGAGCUCUUUCUUGAUUUUGUGGGUGGUGGUGCAUGGCCGUUCUUAGUUGGUGGAGUGAUUUGUCUGCUUAAUUGCGAUAACGAACGAGACCUUAACCUGCUAAAUAGCCAGGCGAGCCUUGGCUCGUCGCCGGCUUCUUAGAGGGACUAUCGG